UCACGCAGCAUCCGGAGCAAUCCGGAGCAUCACCAGGUCCACCAGGUCUUUUCGUUCACGGCGUUCAUGUGAGCACAUGUGAGUAGCUCAUCCUUAUAUCAUGAUGGCAUCAAAAGCACAUAUGGACAACCAAGUCAAUCAAGGUCGUCUACGUCCAAUAAACGAUUGGGUGGACAAUGGUGGAUAAUGAAUAUACAGAAAAAAGUACUCCAAAAUGCUCCAAAAAGCAUAUAAAGUACUACAUUAACUCCAAAAAAAUCAAUGAGUAAAAUUGGUAAAAGCACAUGCAUCAAAUGUAGCUGCUUCAACUGACCAAGCACUGGCCUGGUGAUACUUGCAAACAAAAAGCCAAUACAUAGUAUCAAAACCAGAAAUUAAGCACAUGUUCCGUGAGCCAGAAAAACGACCACCAGUUUUGGUAUCAAAUCUUUUUACUGGUCUCUGUUUGGCACCAGUAUUGAUUCUGUUGGUUCUUUGGGUAAAACUUGAUGUCAAUGUAUCCAAAUUUCCAUUUUCAAUCAGCGCAAUUGUUUUCCAUCUUGGACUUGGCAGCAUUUUCGUACAAUUUGGAAUUUUCUAGUUACAACUCAACAUGUUUGUAACAUUGUCAAGUCCAACAAUUCUCGUCUCAGUGUUGGGUACCACUUGUUCAACUAAACCGAGGACUAUUUGUUCCUCUUUUUAUUAACGGUGAUGUUUUAAAAAUGCCAUAUCUAAAAAAUUUA
Aphidius gifuensis is the source of this 725-nucleotide long non-coding RNA. RefSeq lists it as uncharacterized. Lineage: Eukaryota; Metazoa; Arthropoda; Insecta; Hymenoptera; Braconidae. The transcript is spliced from 4 exons. The record is from RefSeq and is a predicted model, not a curated record.